This 345-nucleotide long non-coding RNA is filed under the name Eutrema salsugineum. RNAcentral's name for it is "long non-coding RNA (ESAL_LNC001101)". Lineage: Eukaryota; Viridiplantae; Streptophyta; Magnoliopsida; Brassicales; Brassicaceae. The record is from RNAcentral.
UUGUAUCAGCAAUGUAAGCGCUCGGCUUCUUCUUAUCCUUCCUCAGACUCUGAACCAGGUUUGUAGGGUCAGAGUCGAAGUAGUGGCUCACGUCAGUCAAGGAAAUCUCGGAAGAAUCCAAGUUCUGGAACGUGACUUCUGCAGUGCUGAGAGCCAUCUCAAAGACCUGCUUCUUUUCAGCCAUUCCUGCUCCAGGAGCAUCACUAUCAAACGCAAACGACUUCCGGCUCAGAUACAUGUCCUGAAGCUGUUUCUCAUCGUUCCAUGUAGAGUUCUCAACAGCAAGGUUGAUGUUGGAUGAGUAUGACCCUGAGGCGUUUGAGAAUACUCUUGUCGCUGCCUCCC